ACUUUUUUAGUAUAGUAGCAGUACACGUGACUUCCAAUCACAUAGUCUUAGUUAAAACCUAGGAAGAAGUA
This 71-nucleotide transfer RNA is filed under the name Pipa pipa. Its description in RNAcentral is "tRNA-Gly". It matches the Rfam family "tRNA". Rfam says of the family: Transfer RNA (tRNA) molecules are approximately 80 nucleotides in length. Their secondary structure includes four short double-helical elements and three loops (D, anti-codon, and T loops). The record is from RNAcentral. Lineage: Eukaryota; Metazoa; Chordata; Amphibia; Anura; Pipidae.